AUUGAACGCUGGCGGCAUGCCUUACACAUGCAAGUCGAACGGCAGCACGGGGGCAACCCUGGUGGCGAGUGGCGAACGGGUGAGUAAUACAUCGGAACGUACCUUAUCGUGGGGGAUAACGCAGCGAAAGUUGCGCUAAUACCGCAUACGCCCUGAGGGGGAAAGCGGGGGACCGUAAGGCCUCGCGCGAUUAGAGCGGCCGAUGUCUGAUUAGCUUGUUGGUGAGGUAAAAGCUCACCAAGGCGAUGAUCAGUAGCUGGUCUGAGAGGACGAUCAGCCACACUGGGACUGAGACACGGCCCAGACUCCUACGGGAGGCAGCAGUGGGGAAUUUUGGACAAUGGGGGCAACCCUGAUCCAGCAAUGCCGCGUGAGUGAAGAAGGCCUUCGGGUUGUAAAGCUCUUUUGUCAGGGAAGAAACAGCAGCUCUAACACAGUCUGCGAAUGACGGUACCUGAAGAAUAAGCACCGGCUAACUACGUGCCAGCCGCCGCCGUAA
RNAcentral lists this ribosomal RNA (499 nucleotides) under uncultured bacterium. RNAcentral describes it as "partial 16S ribosomal RNA". It matches the Rfam family "Bacterial small subunit ribosomal RNA", at positions 30 to 523 of the family's 1533-position model. The record is from RNAcentral.